GCUGUCAUGGGCGCAGCCUGAUGCAGCCAUGCCGCGUGUAUGAAGAAGGCCUUCGGGUUGUAAAGUACUUUCAGCGGGGAGGAAGGGAGUAAAGUUAAUACCUUUGCUCAUUGACGUUACCCGCAGAAGAAGCACCGGCUAACUCCGUG
This 149-nucleotide ribosomal RNA is filed under the name uncultured bacterium. RNAcentral describes it as "partial 16S ribosomal RNA". It matches the Rfam family "Bacterial small subunit ribosomal RNA", at positions 366 to 507 of the family's 1533-position model. The record is from RNAcentral.